CCUACGGGUGGCAGCAGUGGGGGAUAUUGCACAAUGGGGGAAACCCUGAUGCAGCGACGCCGCGUGAGUGAAGAAGUAUUUCGGUAUGUAAAGCUCUAUCAGCAGGGAAGAAAAAAGACGGUACCUGACUAAGAAGACUCGGCUAACUACGUGCCAGCAGCCGCGGUAAUACGUAGGGGGCAAGCGUUAGCCGGAUUUACUGGGUGUAAAGGGAGCGUAGACGGCAAUACAAGUCGGAAGUGAAAUACCCGGGCUCAACCUGGGAACUGCUUUGGAAACUGUAUGGCUGGAGUGCUGCUGAGGUAGGCGGAAUGCGUAGUGUAGCGGUGAAAUGCGUAGAUAUUAGGAGGAACACCGAUGGCGAAGGCAGCUUGCUAAACAGUAACUGACGUUGAGGCUCGAAAGCGUGGGGAGCGAACAGGAUUAGAUACCCGAGUAGUC
Molecule: ribosomal RNA, 441 nt
Filed under: uncultured bacterium
Lineage: Bacteria
Description: partial 16S ribosomal RNA
Rfam family: Bacterial small subunit ribosomal RNA
Source: RNAcentral